Molecule: long non-coding RNA, 596 nt
Organism: Odontomachus brunneus
Lineage: Eukaryota; Metazoa; Arthropoda; Insecta; Hymenoptera; Formicidae
Exons: 3
Source: RefSeq, a predicted model, not a curated record
UUGUGCAACCGUUAAUAGUGCACCGCAUCGAGUGUUGCGGUGAUAAAGGCGUACAAGAUAUUCACCACGCGAUUAGAGUUCCAUUACUGCAAUUUAGGAAAUAUUACUUUAAAGAAACACUCAGUAACUUCUUCGGAUAAUUUAAAAGAAAAAAACGAACAAUUAUUUUUGCCCAAUAUUCCUCGUCACUUGCGUUCGUAAACACGCCGCAUGUGGCAGCACCGAUCAAAGAAGGCUGCGACACCUGCUCCGGUAUAUUUCCUCGCACGCAUCGCAAAGUGCAAAAUUUUUUGAGGGUUUAAUAAUUGCUUAUGGAAAGAUUGGAAAUAAUUAAUUGACGAAAUUGACGGAAAUAAUUAAUUAAUGAACGAUCGGAUAUAAAUUUGAAGUCGCACAACAGAGACGAAUAUAUCUACAUUGGGAUUACAGUUAAAAUUGAAAAUAAGAUCGUAAAUUUCUUGACGUUUCACUAGAAUAGAUCAAAAUUCUUCAAGAUAUUUUGCAAGUCCCGGAGCAACUUUUUAAAAACAUGUUUUUUUGACAACGGCCGUAUGCCGCCAUUUUGUAUUUUUUUUUUAUUAAAAAAUAAAAAUUUG